GCUUUGAUGGUGUAGUUGGCUAUCACGUGGGUCUCAUAUACCUUGAGUGCGCCUGGCGCAUGCAAUCCCGAGGUCGAGAGUUCGAUCCUCUCUCAGAGCA
This is a non-coding RNA of Rhodotorula sp. CCFEE 5036, 100 nucleotides long. NCBI's taxonomy places the organism in Eukaryota, Fungi, Basidiomycota, Microbotryomycetes, Sporidiobolales, Sporidiobolaceae. The record is from the annotation of a GenBank genome assembly.